UACGUAGGUGACAAGCGUUGUCCGGAUUUACUGGGCGUAAAGAGCGCGCAGGCGGUCGAUCAAGUCGGGUGUGAAAGCCCCCGGCUCAACUGGGGAGGGUCAUUCGAUACUGAUCGACUCGAAGGCAGGAGAGGGUAGUGGAAUUCCGGGUGUAGUGGUGGAAUGCGUAGAGAUCCGGAGGAACACCAGUGGCGAAGGCGGUUCUCUGGGCAUGAUCUGACGCUGAGGAGCGAAAGUGUGGGGAGCGAACAGG
Molecule: ribosomal RNA, 253 nt
Filed under: uncultured bacterium
Lineage: Bacteria
Description: partial 16S ribosomal RNA
Rfam family: Bacterial small subunit ribosomal RNA
Source: RNAcentral